AGAACGAACGCUGGCGGCAGGCCUAACACAUGCAAGUCGAGCGCCCCGCAAGGGGGAGCGGCAGACGGGAAAGUAACACGUGGGAACGUACCCUUCAGUUCGGAACAACCCAGGGAAACUUGGGCUAAUACCGAAUACGUCCGUAAGGAGAAAGAUUUAUCGCUGAAGGAUCGGCCCGCGUCUGAUUAGCUAGUUGGUGAGGUAACGGCUCACCAAGGCUACGAUCAGUAGCUGGUCUGAGAGGAUGAUCAGCCUCACUGGGACUGAGACACGGCCCAGACUCCUACGGGAGGCAGCAGUGGGGAAUAUUGGACAAUGGGCGCAAGCCUGAUCCAGCCAUGCCGCGUGGAUGAUGAAGGCCUUAGGGUUGUAAGUCCUUUCGACGGGGAAGAUAAUGACGGUACCCGUAGAAGAAGCCCCGGCUAACUUCGUGCCAGCAGCCGC
Molecule: ribosomal RNA, 444 nt
Filed under: uncultured bacterium
Lineage: Bacteria
Description: SSU rRNA
Rfam family: Bacterial small subunit ribosomal RNA
Source: RNAcentral